GAUGAACGCUAGCUACAGGCUUAACACAUGCAAGUCGAGGGGUAACAAGGGGAAAGCUUGCUUUCCUUGUUGACGACCGGCGCACGGGUGAGUAACGCGUAUCCAACCUGCCUAUAACUAGGGAAUAACCUUCCGGAAGUAAGACUAAUAACCUAUGAUUUCCUUUGAUGACACUAGAUUAGGAAUAAAGAUUUAUCGGUUAUAGAUGGGGAUGCGUCUAAUUAGCUUGUUGGGCGGGUAACGGCCCACGAAGGCAACGAUCAGUAGGGGUUCUGAGAGGAAGGUCCCCCACAUUGGAACUGAGACACGGUCCAAACUCCUACGGGAGGCAGCAGUGAGGAAUAUUGGUCAAUGGGCGGAAGCCUGAACCAGCCAAUAGCGAGCAGGAUGACGGCCCUAUGGGUUGUAAACUGCUUUUAUACAGGAAUAAAGUUAGCCACGUGUGGUUAUUUGUAGGUACUGUAUGAAUAAGGACCGGCUAAUUCCGUGCCAGCCGCCGCCGUAA
Molecule: ribosomal RNA, 505 nt
Filed under: uncultured bacterium
Lineage: Bacteria
Description: partial 16S ribosomal RNA
Rfam family: Bacterial small subunit ribosomal RNA
Source: RNAcentral